AACGAACGCUGGCGGCGCGCUUAACACAUGCAAGUCGAACGAGAAGGCGUAGCAAUACGCUUGUACAGUGGCGAACGGGUGAGUAACACGUGGGUGACCUACCCUCGAGUGGGGAAUAACCCGCCGAAAGGCGGGCUAAUGCCGCGUACGCUUCCAGGUUUGCGGAUCUGGAAGGAAAGCCAUGCCGUGGGCAUGGCGCUCAAGGAUGGGCUCACGUCCUAUCAGCUUGUUGGUAGGGUAACGGCCUACCAAGGCAACGACGGGUAGCUGGUCGGAGGGGACGAUCAGCCACACUGGCACUGCGACACGGGCCAGACUCCUACGGGAGGCAGCAGUGAGGAAUAUGGCGCAAUGGGCGAAAGCCUGACGCAGCGACGCCGCGUGGGGGAUGAAGGUCUUCGGAUUGUAAACCCCUUUCGGGAGGGAAGAUGGGACGGGCAACCGUUCGGACGGUACCUCCAGAAGCAGCCACGGCUAACUUCGUGCCAGCCGCCGCGGUAA
This 501-nucleotide ribosomal RNA is filed under the name uncultured bacterium. RNAcentral's name for it is "partial 16S ribosomal RNA". It matches the Rfam family "Bacterial small subunit ribosomal RNA", at positions 29 to 523 of the family's 1533-position model. The record is from RNAcentral.